RNAcentral lists this ribosomal RNA (489 nucleotides) under uncultured bacterium. RNAcentral describes it as "partial 16S ribosomal RNA". It matches the Rfam family "Bacterial small subunit ribosomal RNA", at positions 28 to 507 of the family's 1533-position model. The record is from RNAcentral.
GAUGAACGCUAGCUACAGGCUUAACACAUGCAAGUCGCAGGGUAACAUGAGGAAAGCUUGCUUUCCUUGAUGACGACUGGCGCACGGGUGAGUAACGCGUAUCCAACCUUCCCAUAACUACGGGAUAACCCGUUGAAAGACGGCCUAAUACCGUAUGAUAUCGUUUGCUGACAUCAAAUAACGAUUAAAGGUUUAGCGGUUAUGGAUGGGGAUGCGUCUGAUUAGCUUGUUGGCGGGGUAACGGCCCACCAAGGCGACGAUCAGUAGGGGUUCUGAGAGGAAGGUCCCCCACAUUGGAACUGAGACACGGUCCAAACUCCUACGGAGGCAGCAGUGAGGAAUAUUGGUCAAUGGGCGAGAGCCUGAACCAGCCAAGUAGCGUGCAGGACGACGGCCCUAUGGGUUGUAAACUGCUUUUAUGUGGGGAUAAAGUGCGUGACGUGUCAUGCAUUGCAGGUACCACAUGAAUAAGGACCGGCUAAUUCCGUG